GCGCGUAGGCGGUCUGUUAAGUGUGAAGUGAAAUCUCCAGGGCUCAACCCGGAAACUGCUUCGCAUACUGGCAGACUGGAGGGAUGCAGAGGUUUGUGGAAUUCCUGGUGUAGCGGUGAAAUGCAUAGAUAUCAGGAGGAACACCCAUGGCGAAGGCAGCAAACUGGGCAUCAUCUGACGCUGAGGCGCGAAAGCGUGGGUAGCAAACAGGAUUAGAUACCCUGGUAGUCCACGCCCUAAACUAUGGAUACUAGGCGUAAGAGGUAUCGACCCCUCUUGUGCCGCAGCUAACGCAUUAAGUAUCCCGCCUGGGGAGUACGGCCGCAAGGUUGAAACUCAAAUGAAUUGACGGGGACCCGCACAAGCGGUGGAGCAUGUGGAUUAAUUCGAUACUAACCGAAGAACCUUACCCAGACUUGACAUCGAUCGCAAGCCCUAGAAAUAGGGCCCUCUCCAAAAGAGACGUGAAGACACUUGUUGCAUGGCUGUCGUCAGCUCGUGCCGUGAGGUGUACGGUUAAGUCCGCCAACGAGCGCAACUCUCGUCCUGUGUU
RNAcentral lists this ribosomal RNA (553 nucleotides) under uncultured bacterium. RNAcentral describes it as "bacterial SSU rRNA". It matches the Rfam family "Bacterial small subunit ribosomal RNA", at positions 567 to 1116 of the family's 1533-position model. The record is from RNAcentral.